Molecule: ribosomal RNA, 254 nt
Filed under: uncultured bacterium
Lineage: Bacteria
Description: partial 16S ribosomal RNA
Rfam family: Bacterial small subunit ribosomal RNA
Source: RNAcentral
UACGUAGGGUGCGAGCGUUGUCCGGAAUUAUUGGGCGUAAAGGGCGCGUAGGCGGCCCGCUAAGUCGAACGUGAAAUCCCCGAGCUCAACUCGGGAACUGCGUCCGAUACUGGCGGGCUUGAAUCCGGGAGAGGGAUGCGGAAUUCCAGGUGUAGCGGUGAAAUGCGUAGAUAUCUGGAGGAAUACCGGUGGCGAAGGCGGCAUCCUGGACCGGCAUUGACGCUGAGUGAGCGAAAGCUAGGGGAGCAAACGGG